RNAcentral lists this ribosomal RNA (1390 nucleotides) under uncultured diplonemid. Its description in RNAcentral is "SSU rRNA". It matches the Rfam family "Eukaryotic small subunit ribosomal RNA", at positions 80 to 1278 of the family's 1831-position model. The record is from RNAcentral. Lineage: Eukaryota; Euglenozoa; Diplonemea.
AGUAGGUCUGCAGACAGCUCAUUAAAUCAGCUACAAUCUACGCGGAGAAACUGCCUUUCGGCAGACUAUUGGAUAACUUUGGUAACCCCAAAGCUAAUACAUGUCAGCAAAACCCGCACAGAUUCAACCUCGGGGCCUCUGGUUCUGGGGCUGUGUUGGGUGCAAUUGACCGAAACAAAAACCAACGCUAGCAAUAGCAGCGGUGAUUGGAUGACUCAGGUCAAUCGAGUAGUAGCGCAUACUUCGGUGGCGCUUGUCCGCAUGAGCAUCUGCCCUAUCAGCUUUUGACGGUAGUGUAGUGGACUACCGUGGCUGUAACGGGUAACAGGGAAUUAGGGUUCGAUUCCGGAGAGGGAACCUGAGAAACGGCUACCACAACUAAGGUUGGCAGCAGGCGCGCAAAUUGCCCAAUAGCAACACAUCGCUGAGGCAGCGAAGAGAAAUAGCAACUUCAUGCGGCCCUGCCGUGUGAAGAUUGCCAUGGACGAUAUCUAAACCUGUCGGUGAGUAUCAAUUGGUGGACAAGUCUGGUGCCAGCACCCGCGGUAAUUCCAGCACCAAUAGCGUAUAUUAAUGCUGCUGCUGUUAAAAGCUCGUAGUUGGAUCAAGAGUUGGACCGUGCACGGUGGCCCCGUUAGCUCAGCUGGCUCCGGUCAGAUGGGCGGCGGCGGAUCAACCCCGUGCGCCAAACAGUCCACUCUAACAGACCGAAGCGGUUCCCUGUGAGUAGGCUCCUUCAUUGGGGCUGAAAGCGCUUAUGCAUACGGGACGUCGGUCAAAGUUACUGUGAACAAACCAGCGUGUCCAAAACAGGCUUUCGCCUGAAUGUUCGAGCAUGGAAUAAUCAAGGGAUCGAUUCUCUCGGUUCUUUUUGUUGGGUUUUAACCCGAGAAGGAGUAAUUCAGGCCACGGUGUCUGAGUUGGGUUUCCCUUCGCUUCGGCGGGGGCCCCAAUUAGGCCGUGUUCUUACGGGAUAAAUAGGGACUGACGGGGUCGUACGUACUUCCACGUCAGAGGUGAAAUUCUUAGAUUGUGGGAAGACGAACUUCUGCGAAAGCAUUCGACAAGAAUGUCUUCAUUAAUCAAGAACGAGAGUGUGGGGAUCGAAGAUGAUCAGAUACCGUCGUAGUCCACUACUGUAAACAGUGCCGUCUCAGGAUUGAGAAGUGAACAGAAUGACUUUCACAGCACUAACCCCUGAAACGAGAAAUCAAAGAUUAUGGGUUGCAGGGGGGAGUACAUUCGCAAGGCUGGAACUUAAAGGAAUUGACGGAAUGACACCACAAGGCGUGGAGUAUGCGGCUUAAUUUGACUCAACACGGGGAAUUUUACUAGGUCAGGACAAUGUAAGGAUUGACAGAUUGAGCCCUAUCAAUAUUCUGCAGUAGAA